Long non-coding RNA from Glycine soja, 1315 nucleotides. RefSeq lists it as uncharacterized. NCBI's taxonomy places the organism in Eukaryota, Viridiplantae, Streptophyta, Magnoliopsida, Fabales, Fabaceae. The transcript has 4 exons. The record is from RefSeq and is a predicted model, not a curated record.
UAAGUCAAAACGGCUAAUGAUGGCGUUGGAGUAUUUUUUUUCCCUGUAUUUGAGACAAUUGUUAUGUUAUUUGACACAGCGGCUAUUUUAUUUUCGGUCAUGCUACUAAUAUUCUAUUCUUAGUAUUACCUACUCAAUUUCAUAUAAUUGUAGUAAUAUAUUGUCUUUACCCCCUUCUACUGCAUUGCAUCUGCAUUUGAUUACCACAGCAACAAUUUAGUGCAGCUAUAGUACCACCAAGCUUGCCACUGCAGCAGUUAAGUGAACAAAUGAAGUGUCCACAGUCAUUGGAUGGUUGCUUGGUAGAGGUACAUGCUAAUAACUAAUAAGAUUUCCUGUGCAGGGUAUCAUUGUUUUUGCAUGACUGAUGGCUACCUUGGGGCUGGAGAUUUUGGUUGAAUCUGCCUCAAGUGUUAUUUUGAAGAUGAUAUUAUCAUUUGACCUUGCUUUUGCUUUGAUUCCGCUCCUAAAGUUCAGUAGCAGCAAAGUGACUAGCAGCACAAGCAUUGAAGAGAGAUUGCAGGGAUUCCAAGGGAAGGGGACCAGGGGAUGAAAAAUAUGAUUAAAGAGAGUUCUUGAGGAGUUUGUCACAUGCUCAGGGAAGUGGAAGAUUUUGCACGAAGGUUAAAUUCUGCUUGGCCUGAAAGGAUGCAAAUUUGAUCUUUGGCCCAACACAGAAGACUAGUAACAAUUUCUAUGAAUAGCAAUGGUUCAACGCAGCUGUAUAUAGGUAUGUUCUAUCUAUCUUCUCAAUAUUCGCGGUGAACCCUACUUGCUGCCUUGUUUUCUAUCAGAAGCAUCAUUAAAUUUUGUUGACAUGCACAUGACUGGAAUCAACUAGUUAUAAGUUACUUCAUCACUCUCAUGCAUUUCAUUCAUCACAUACAACACUCUCUCCAAAGUUCAAAUUAAGACUGAGGGGUGAGAAAGAGACAAUUAAUAUGGGUGCCGGUCUACUUGCAAUUGGUUCUUGUGCAAUUGGUCUAUGCAGUGAUGAACAUUACUUAAAUGCUUGCAAUAGAAUCUGGAAUGAGCCCUCUUGUCCUUGUUGCUUAUCGACAACUCUUUGCUACUGUGUCCAUUGCUCCCUUUGCUUAUUGGCUCGAGUGGUAAUUAUAUAUAUAUAUACCCUUUCUGGUUUUGUUUUAUUUUCAUAUAUAUAAACAAUGCAUGCAUGAAAGGCUUUGAUGAACUUUGAACCACCUAUAACAUUCUCACUGUGAGUGUCACCGUCGAUAUCCCUUUUCUUUUGGUUGAUGCAUGAUUGUGUUAUUUAUCCUUUAAAUGUAUUUAUAUAUGUUUGUUGUAUAUAAAU